UACAACUAUGGGAUCUAGGUCCAUCAAUUGGAUACAUCUGUUCUAAAUUUGUUUAGAAUCUUAUGUAGGAGGAAGAAUAUUUCACUCCAAAAUAUGACUGUAGGAGAAUAGAAUGUGUACCCAAAUAUGCCUCUUUAGCAUAAGAAUCAUUUUGAGCUGCUUAUUUUGGGAGACAGUACACACAGGAGAAGCUCUGAAAACAGAGUAGAAGUGACCAGGCACGGUGACUCACGCCUGUAAUCCCAGCACUUUGGGAGGCUGAGGUGGGCGGAUCACUAGGUCAGGAGGUUGAGACCACCCUGGCCAACAUGGUGAAACGCCAUCUCUACUAAAAAUACAAAUAUUAGUCAGGCAUGGUGGUGGGCGCCUGUAGUUGCAGUUACUCAGGAGGCUGAGGCAAGAGAAUCGCUUGAACCUGGAAGGCAGAGAGGUUGAGUGAGCCAGUAUCGCGCCACUGCACUUCAGCUUGGCAACAGAACGAGACUUUGUCUCAAAAUAAUAGGUAAAUCAAUAAAACCAGGGCAGAAGUCACCCUCUUGUAAGAGAAAUUUAUGUCUAUAAAGGAAAUCUCCAUCAUAAGGGUGUCUCCUCUCUGUACCAGAAAGAGGAUGAAUCUAAGUUACCAAAAACUCUUAUCAAUACAGAAGGCAACUUAAACACAGCAGUCCCUUCCAACCAAGAGCUCAAGAAGGGUAAACGAAAAAUUAAUUUUUUCCUCUCCUACGCUAGUGAUGGUGCACAGAGUCCAUCUGGCAAGGAUAAAGGCAGAGACAUUCUGUUCAUUAAAGCAGCAGUGAUAGGGCCAGCUCUGGUGGCUGUCCCCAGUGGGGGGCAAUGAUGGCUUCGCUGAGCAGCUCUGCAGCACAGGCUGGGGCAUCAUUCCUGUCCUCCAGCCUCUGUUCCUUUGUCUCUGGGCCUCCCUUGGAGCCCUUCAGCUGUUUGAUUCUUUUUGAAAUAAAAUCUUUUUACUGCUGAAAUGAGCCAGAGUGGAUUUCUUUGUCCUCAAGGAA
Molecule: long non-coding RNA, 1010 nt
Filed under: Callithrix jacchus (white-tufted-ear marmoset)
Lineage: Eukaryota; Metazoa; Chordata; Mammalia; Primates; Cebidae
Description: lncRNA (ENSCJAG00000071590.1)
Source: RNAcentral